UUGAGCCUGCAGUCGAGGUGGAGAGUGUUGGUCUCCGUCUGGCUUGAUGUUGACGCUUCAACAGCGUUCUUUUUGAUGAGGAUGACACACACAACAGUUUGUCUCCAGCACAGUCAAGGUUCCCAUCAGUCACAGAGAAUGAGCUUAACAGGGACAGCACUGUGCGGAAGGUGCUCUGCUGCAUCAGGAUGCAAGAUGGGGUGAAUUCCUCAAGAACUAAAAUCUGCAGUCGUUGCAGAGAAUGGCCUUCAGUAAAAGUCAUGAAGCUGUUCAGCUGUGUUAGCAUGCUGGGUUCAGGGAGUUCUGGACAGAGAGGAGCAGAUGUGGAUCAGCAUCACUGCACCUGAUUCUGGGUAAGCUAUUAAAGGUCAUUUGAUCGCGGUACAGCUGCUCUGAGGAGUUUACAGUUCGCUGUGAUGAUGCUUUUCCUGCCAUUCGUAGUUUCCACCAGAGGUUUAAACACCAAAGAUGGUUCAAGUCUUCCUUGGAUGUCUGAGCGAACACUUUGAAGUUUAACUCUUGUUGAUGACUGAGAACCUUCACAGACAACUCUUGUUAUUGACACGUCUUCUUUCAGAGCUGACUCUGCCUCGAUCUCUGUUUCAGGAUGAACGUCUUCAGUUAUGCCCACCAGCUGUAAACCUGUUGUGUCACCAGAGCUGCUCCCGGCUGACUGGAUGUUUCUGUAAAGGAUCAACCUGCAGACUCUCCAGCACAAGUGUUGGUGGUCAGAGUUCCUGAAGCUGGUACGUAUUCCAAGCUGUUCGUGGCUAUGAUGGAGAUGUAUGACACUGUAGUUACAAAAACGGAUAUUGGAUCCUCUUUUCUAAUUAUCACCAUUUGAACAUUUGGGUCACAUUACUUGUAUAUGUGUAAGUUUGUACUCUGCUUUAAAGUCCUGGGGUGUUGUAGAUGUGUCCCCUUUAACUUUGACUGUAGCCAUUUAACUCUUGAGUUUCUCCCCCUAAAAAAGUACAUGUGAUAGCAAUCACGUAUAGAUUUUUUUUUUUUUUUUUUUCCCCUUAAAUGCCCGUGAAGCCACAGUCUUUAUUAAAACGUGGAAGGGGAAUGUUCGCUGUGAUGAUGUUUUUCCUGCCAUUCGUAGUUUCCACCAGAGGUUUAAACACCGAAGAUGGUUCAAAUCUUCCUUGGAUGUCUGAGCGAACAUUAGAGGAUCGUAGUUCUACUUUUGAAUGUCUUUGUUCUAAGAACUAAAUUGUAUUCUCCCUUUCAGGGAGAUAAUUGCCACGGAUACCAAGGCUAAUCUGUGGAUUCUCCAGGCUGUUAAAGCUGGUAUGUACGGUUACUUGUUGAAGUCUUACGUCUUUGAAGAGUUUAUCGCUGUGAUGAUGAUUUUUCCUGCCAUUCGUAGUUUCCACCAGAGGUUUAAACACCAAAGAUGGUUCAAAUCUUCCUUGGAUGUCUGAGCGAACAUUAGAUUGCAGCUUUGCUUGUGAACUCUUCUCUUCCAGAUCUAACUUUAUCUCAAUUUAUCUCACUUUCAGGCUGGACGUCAACAUUGAUGGACCUGCAAUCAAACAUGAGUCAGCUGUGUAGGGUUUUUUUUUUUUUUUUGUUUUUUUGUAGGUUGAAGUUUGAAAGAUGGCUGUCAUCUAAUCUUAAAAAUAAAAUGAAUCUUAAACAGAAAACAAGCUAGCAGUUUUGUGACUAUAAAUGAGAUGUUCUUAGUUUUGAAGUAACUGUUUUUUAUUUUCCAUGCAUGCUGGCAAAGUUAGUUAGUUUUUUGUAUUUUUACUUGUACAUAAUUUUUAAAGUAAUAAAGAUCCAAUAGGUGUCGAAAGAUUUUGUUUUUAAUCUGUCUUCUCUUGCUGAAAUUCAUUCAUUCAAAUAAGGGGUUUUAGACUGUACACUGUUGCUUCUCGUUGGGCUGCAUUGCUUGGGCAAAUGCUUAAAUAUUUGAUAGAUUGUAACUGAUGAAAACUAUUCAACAUCUAACUCAGUGACGUGAAGAAGAAUCCCAGAGAACAUAAAUUGCAUCAUGUAAAUUUUAACACUACAGAAUAACAUUUGUGAAAUGUUUUCAGACAUUGAACAACUAUAUUAGUUCACUAUACUGUGAAAACCCAGUGUGUCGAGGACUAUUUUGGGAAUAAAUCAGGCUAUACAUGAAGUGUUGAGUUGGUGUUGGCUGAGAAGUUAGUCAGAUUAAGUAGGUAAAUGGGUGUACCUGAUUUUCUACUUGGUAAAACAGUUACAUAUUUCUAAGCAACUGACUUUUACACUGUUAUGCA
Astatotilapia calliptera (eastern happy) is the source of this 2252-nucleotide long non-coding RNA. The record is from Ensembl. Lineage: Eukaryota; Metazoa; Chordata; Actinopteri; Cichliformes; Cichlidae.